ACUCAAUGGGCAUGAGUUUGAGCAAGCUCUGGGAGAUGGUGAAGGACCCGGAAGCCUGGUGUGCUGCAGUCCAUGGAGUUGCAAGGAAUUGGACACAACUUAGCAACUGAACACCACCAACAUCCGUGAGUCUUUGAAGACGAACUUCUUAAAAGCUGAGUGUGUGCUACUUUUCUUCCGACGCUGUCUGCCCCGCCUGCGCACCCCUCUUAUUUCCUUAACUUCUCCCUGCUUCCUCCCUCCCCAAACCCACAAUCUAAGUUCUAAACCUCCAUUUCUUGUCUGAGCUUCCACUUCUUGAGGACUUUGUUGCUGUCCCAGUUUAGCAUCUUCUACUGCUGCACAGCGUCUCGUGUCACAGUGGAUCCCUGCUGAGACAGACACCUUCAGAGUGUGGGCAGGUGGACAGGGUUCUGAACAGAAGCACCUUAGUUCAACAGUCAGGCAGACGGGCAGGACUCUCCAAGGCAAACCAUUCUGCAUGAUUAUGGAAACCGAAGCAAUGAAAGGCGAGUCAAAGAAGCAGUUCUACUAUGGAGUCAGAAUUGGCUUCCUCCCUGCAACACUCACUCUGUCCAUCAAGGGCCACAGCGCCUUCCAUUCCAUUCCCUGCUAGUGUUGCCUUUCUGCUUCCCCGGUGGGGCCAUGGUAAAAACUCCAUCCGAAGAAGUCAGACUAUUUUCUUCUCUCUUCCUUCCCUUGCCAGAGUAACUACUUUAAAACGUGAUACUCUGCAUUUCCCUCCUCCGUGAAACAGGAAAUGAAUACCUGAAAAUUUGGCAAGAAGAGAGAGUGCAGAGAGAAGGAAAUGUGCAGGUCCUUUGAACCCCUAUAAAAGGAGAAUUUAGGCCUACAUAUUAUAUGGCACGCGGGCACCUAUGCAGAUGAAGCCUCAGAACCUUCCUGGACGACGUCACUCAAGACCAAGGGAAGCUCUUGUUUUUUUCAGACAUUACACUGCCCCAGGAAGCAAACAGUCCUAAAGAACUUUGAUUCCGACGAAGUCAACUAACCCUGAAGGGUUGACUUACUCAAGUUUCCAUAGAAAGGAAUCUAUUUACCUAUUAAUUCCUCAGCAAAUAUUUAUCAGCACUCCCUGUGCGACAGGCAUUAUUCCAGAGACUUGAGACCAGGCACUGUAGCUAAAUGGAAACAUCAACAUAGCCUCCAACCUGCUACAAGAAAUUGUGUCAUUUAAACAGGAAUACUAGUGGGCAAAACAAAUUAGUGAAAAUAAUCUGCACUUCCUGACCUACAUAAAUCUCUCCAUCAGCCGAAAGAAUGCAUCUGUUAGAAAAGUGGGCACUGCUAUGUGCUCGUUCGGCCACACCCAGAAACAGAACCAUCGCAUCACUUUUGCUAUGUCAGUCCAAUCCAGUCUAUGCCCAACUUUCCAGGGCUCUAGAGUUGGGCAAGACGGCAAAGUCGGAGAAGGCAAUGGCACCCCACUCCUGUACUCUCGCCUGGAAAAUCCCAUGGACGGAGGAGCCUGGUAGGCUGCAGUCCACGGGGUUGCUAAGAGCCGGAUACGAC
Long non-coding RNA from Bubalus bubalis (water buffalo), 1533 nucleotides. RefSeq lists it as uncharacterized. The transcript is spliced from 3 exons. Lineage: Eukaryota; Metazoa; Chordata; Mammalia; Artiodactyla; Bovidae. The record is from RefSeq and is a predicted model, not a curated record.